This 101-nucleotide microRNA precursor is filed under the name Nelumbo nucifera (sacred lotus). RNAcentral describes it as "MIR2275 microRNA precursor family". It matches the Rfam family "MIR2275 microRNA precursor family". Lineage: Eukaryota; Viridiplantae; Streptophyta; Magnoliopsida; Proteales; Nelumbonaceae. The record is from Rfam by way of RNAcentral.
AUAUUGGAUGUGAGAAUUGGAGGAAACCAAACUGACUGUUGUGAAAUGCAACAAACAUGUAAUAGCCAGUUUGAUUUCCUCCAAUUUUUCACCUUCACUUC